This 65-nucleotide transfer RNA is filed under the name Thanmoia reticulipennis. RNAcentral's name for it is "Paratoacris reticulipennis tRNA-Tyr". It matches the Rfam family "tRNA". Rfam says of the family: Transfer RNA (tRNA) molecules are approximately 80 nucleotides in length. Their secondary structure includes four short double-helical elements and three loops (D, anti-codon, and T loops). The record is from RNAcentral. Lineage: Eukaryota; Metazoa; Arthropoda; Insecta; Orthoptera; Acrididae.
GGUAAGAUGGCUGAAUUAGGUGGUAGACUGUAAAUCUAUUAAUGAGAAGCUUUUCUCUCUUAUCA